CCUACGGGUGGCAGCAGUGAGGAAUAUUGGUCAAUGGACGAGAGUCUGAACCAGCCAAGUAGCGUGAAUGAUGACUGCCCUAUGGGUUGUAAACUUCUUUUAUAUGGGAAUAAAAUGUUCCACGUGUGGGAUUUUGUAUGUACCAUAUGAAUAAGGAUCGGCUAACUCCGUGCCAGCAGCCGCGGUAAUACGGAGGAUCCGAGCGUUAUCCGGAUUUAUUGGGUUUAAAGGGAGCGUAGGUGGAUUUUUAAGUCAGUUGUGAAAGUUUGCGGCUCAACCGUAAAAUUGCAGUUGAAACUGGCAGUCUUGAGUACAGUAGAGGUGGGCGGAAUUCGUGGUGUAGCGGUGAAAUGCUUAGAUAUCACGAAGAACUCCGAUUGCGAAGGCAGUUCACUGGACUGCAACUGACACUGAGGCUCGAAAGUGUGGGUAUCAAACAGGAUUAGAUACCCCUGUAGUC
Molecule: ribosomal RNA, 460 nt
Filed under: uncultured bacterium
Lineage: Bacteria
Description: partial 16S ribosomal RNA
Rfam family: Bacterial small subunit ribosomal RNA
Source: RNAcentral